GCGGAGCCCGAGCGAUCCGGAGUGAGUGGCGACGGAGAGCUUAGGGAUCAAGUGGCUGCGCUUAUUGGACUAGUGCGGCAGCAAGCGGAGUCCGUUCAACGCCAAGGGGAGCAAAUUCAGCGGCUCCAGGAGGCCUUGGAGCGUCAACAGCGGCGGCCCAGGCGGGUGUCGAGCAUAUCGUGCCCCCUGCGGUAGUGCCGAGUGUAGACGAGGGAGCGGCGGCAGCAGCGGCUGUCCCAGUUAUGGUAGUACCGGCCGGAUCGGGAACCUCAAAUCCCGAUAGCGCGGCGGUAGAGGCGGAGCGAGAGCGCACGUUGGCGGCUCUCAUUCAGUUUAAGAAGUUCAACCCACCUACCUUUGAGGGCGGUUUGGUGGAGCCGGCGGUCGUGGAGUCGUGGAUCGACUCAAUGGAGACGCUCUUCGAGGAUCUCAAUACCUCGGAGAAGGACAAAGUGUA
RNAcentral lists this long non-coding RNA (457 nucleotides) under Ananas comosus (pineapple). RNAcentral describes it as "long non-coding RNA (ACOM_LNC038867)". The record is from RNAcentral. Lineage: Eukaryota; Viridiplantae; Streptophyta; Magnoliopsida; Poales; Bromeliaceae.